UACAGAGGGGGCAAGCGUUGUUCGGAAUUACUGGGCGUAAAGGGCGCGUAGGCGGCCUUCUAAGUCGAACGUGAAAUCCCUCGGCUUAACCGGGGAACUGCGUCUGAUACUGGAUGGCUUGAGUUUGGGAGAGGGACGCGGAAUUCCAGGUGUAGCGGUGAAAUGCGUAGAUAUCUGGAGGAACACCGGUGGCGAAGGCGGCGUCCUGGACCAACACUGACACUGAGGAGCGAAAGCCAGGGGAGCAAACGGG
RNAcentral lists this ribosomal RNA (253 nucleotides) under uncultured bacterium. Its description in RNAcentral is "partial 16S ribosomal RNA". It matches the Rfam family "Bacterial small subunit ribosomal RNA", at positions 524 to 776 of the family's 1533-position model. The record is from RNAcentral.